This 145-nucleotide ribosomal RNA is filed under the name Penicillium salamii. The record is from RNAcentral. Lineage: Eukaryota; Fungi; Ascomycota; Eurotiomycetes; Eurotiales; Aspergillaceae.
ACAUACGACCACAGGGUGUGGAAAACAGGGCUUCCCGUCCGCUCAGCCGUACUUAAGCCACACGCCGGUGAGUUAGUAGUUGGGUGGGUGACCACCAGCGAAUCCUCACUGUUGUAUGUUUUGUUUUUGUUUUUUGUUUUAACUA